RNAcentral lists this ribosomal RNA (466 nucleotides) under uncultured bacterium. RNAcentral describes it as "partial 16S ribosomal RNA". It matches the Rfam family "Bacterial small subunit ribosomal RNA", at positions 28 to 507 of the family's 1533-position model. The record is from RNAcentral.
GAUGAACGCUGGCGGCGUGCUUAACACAUGCAAGUCGAACGAUGAAGCCCAGCUUUCUUGGUGUGUUAGUGUCGAACACGUGAGUAACACAUGAGUAUCCUGCGCUUAACUCUUUGGUAUGCCUUGAGGACACUGGGUAAUACCGCGGAUAGGCGUCCACCGCACGGUGGGGGUUGUGGAGAUUUGUCGGUUUUGGAUGGACUCGCGGCGUAUCAGCUUGUUGGUGUGGUAAUGGCUCACCAAGGCGACGACGGGUAGCCGGCCUGAGAGGGUGACCGGCCACACUGGGACUGAGAUACGGCCCAGACUCCUACGGGAGGCAGCAGUGGGGAAUAUUGCACAAUGGGCGGAAGCCUGAUGCAGCGACGCCGCGUGAGGGAUGACGGCCUUCGGGUUGUAAACCUCUUUCAGUAGGGACGAAGCGAGAGUGACGGUAAUUGGAGAAGAAGCACCGGCUAACUACGUG